CCCCUUUCCAGUCCGGCGUGGGGGCCUAGAUCCCAUCACACUCCCCUCCAGCAGGUCCCCCGACUUGGCUCCCCUCUACGAUUCUUCGGGGUUCGCUCGGGCCCUCUCGGUGUGGUUCCUGAGUCCGUCGCUUGAAGGUCCUCCUGAGCUGCCAGUAUGAAUUUAGGUUGGGCCGCGGCUGCUGCUACCAGAAAAUGGAGCAGGAGGUGCGGCCUAGGCCGGGCCUGGUGUGGCGGCGGCGCCGGCGCGCAGUGAAGAACCUGCUGUUGCUCUCCUUGGUGGACCUCGCACAAACGCUGGCGAUGACAAGGCUGCAAGCCAUCACAAAUCCACCUCCAACUUCCUCGGCGAGGUCGGCUUCGGCCCGGUCUACAUGCUAUCCGUCGACGGCGGCCUCCGCCCCGGCCUCGCCAGCAGCAGAUCGCCAUCAAGAUGCUCGGCUUCGACAACAACGACGUCCAGCGGCAGCGAAUUGCUGGCCAAGGUGAUGUAUCGGCGGAUGCUGCGCCCCCUUCCAUAAUGGUAGCCAUUCUCUUGGCAAGCUGAGCUCCUGCAUAUUAGUAAGAAGUCUUGCUCCUCUGUAUCUGUCAUGGGCUUGUGUCAAGGGUCGCGAACUUCCUGAGUAUGUCGACAGGUUCUGUAUUCUGUUCUUCGGGUUUUUUCAGUCUUCAGUAUUUUGUUCUCAUGAAAAAAGGUUAUAUUCACUGUACACAACCGAUCAAAUCAGCCCUCGCUGGCCUUCUGUUCCAGUCAUAACCCACUGACUGAUCAAGCCAGAAAUAAUCCUACUGCAGUGCAUCCUACACCAGUUUUUCAUCUCCCCCACUUAGCUUUUCAUUAUGGCCUUUAAUAAACACAAGUGCAUAUAGGAAUCCAAGUAAAUAGCAACAGCAAUUACUAACAGGUUACAGAUCUUUUCCUUGGUCUCCAUCCCUCCUACCUUGAUCGGAAACAGUUCUACACCACUAUUAAAUCCAUCUAUUAAAACUGCUCUACAGGUCCAUCGUUUCAGCUUUUGGUUCAUUAGCUCUUUAAACUGAGCCACGAGAAGGAGGGGCCACCAAUGUUGGGGGCGCGUGUACAUCGCCCCUGGCCACCGGAGGAAGCGGUCAGUUUUUCCCGUACACACCUAUUUGACUACAAAUUCAAAUUCAUUUUUGUUUUUGCAAGAAUUGUAACAGUAGGACGCAUGAUCAUCUCCCCCCAACCUGCAUGGUGAAUAAUAAUAACUUUUAUGAUUAUACAUGAGCCAGUACCAUCGCUGAUCCUGAUCUGCUAUUUGGAUAAUUGUACUUCCGUCGAAUUGUACUUCUCUUUAUGUCGUUUGCAAGCUAGCCAUUGUUAUGGAUCCAGACAUGAUAACUACGCUUUCGUGGACCUAUACUUCUAUGCAUGUUGUUUCAGGCAAGACAUUGUUACAGAUCCAUCAAAAAUUAAAUUACUACUCCCUCCAUCCACAUAUAUAGGGCCUAAUACGUUUUUCAGGUUACAUUUGACAACAGGUUAGCACAAUAACAUAUGACAUGCAUGUUACACAAAGCAUACCAUUGAAUUCGUAUAUGAAAGGAGUUUCUAAUGAUAUAAUUUUUAUAUCAUACAUCUCAUAUACUAAUAAUUUUAUUAUUGGUCAAAGGCUACCUCGAAAAAUGUAUUUGACUCUAUAUCUGGAUGGAGGGAGUACCAUUUGUUCUACACAUGUUCCCUAUGAAAUGGCCUUUGGUUGUACGUGGCUUGGGCAAAAUUUUGAUUUCCUAAUUGUCCAUAUGAAUGUUUAUGGCUCCUGUAGUUCUUUAUACACAAGCGUCAGCUGCUGAUAUGGUUGAUGGAAGUAUGAGGUAUGUUCUCCACAUUUUCAAAGAUAGAAAAGUUCUAUGGGUAGCUAGAGCGAUGUCUUUUUUAUUUACAAUAUCUAUACUGCUGAAUAAUGACUUGUGGCUGUAUGUCCUUGUAUAUUUGGUGCAUUUACCUACGAUUGGUAAUGAUAUUAAGUAUUCCUUAAUUAAUCUCAGAUAUACCUUUGCAGACUAUGCUUUAUGAUCCAAUGGGAGAUUUGACAAAGCAAGAUAUUUUUCAACAGAUAUGUUUCUUCAUCAGUUGUGAAAAGUACAAUAUUUAACACAUGUUUUUUUAUUGUGUUUUCAACCAACAAAUGUAUCCACGAGCAAUUUUUAUUCCAAAAACUACUGCACUUUCCGGUGAAAAAGGAACAAUUGGACUAGAUGGACAACAAUGGGCGUAGGCCAUCCAAUAGAUGUGAUUUCCUGUUCGCUUUUGUCAAAUAUCUUCAUAAUUGUACAGUCACUCACGUUAUUAAUAUUCGGAUCUUCGGAGAGGC
This is a non-coding RNA of Triticum urartu, 2335 nucleotides long. NCBI's taxonomy places the organism in Eukaryota, Viridiplantae, Streptophyta, Magnoliopsida, Poales, Poaceae. The record is from RefSeq and is a predicted model, not a curated record.